This 19-nucleotide ribosomal RNA is filed under the name Diadegma fenestrale. Its description in RNAcentral is "partial 28S ribosomal RNA". Lineage: Eukaryota; Metazoa; Arthropoda; Insecta; Hymenoptera; Ichneumonidae. RNAcentral also lists the same sequence under 1 other name. The record is from RNAcentral.
ACGACCUCAGAGCAGGCGA